UACAGAGGUCUCAAGCGUUGUUCGGAUUCAUUGGGCGUAAAGGGUGCGCAGGCGGCGCGGUAAGUCGGGUGUGAAAUCUCGGAGCUUAACUCCGAAACUGCAUUCGAUACUGCCGUGCUUGAGGACUGGAGAGGAGACUGGAAUUUACGGUGUAGCGGUGAAAUGCGUAGAUAUCGGAAGGAACAUCAGUGGCGAAAGCGACUUCCUGGACCAAUACUGACGCUCAUGUGCGAAAGCGUGGGGAGCAAACAGG
RNAcentral lists this ribosomal RNA (253 nucleotides) under uncultured bacterium. RNAcentral's name for it is "partial 16S ribosomal RNA". It matches the Rfam family "Bacterial small subunit ribosomal RNA", at positions 524 to 776 of the family's 1533-position model. The record is from RNAcentral.